GUGGGGAAUCUUGCGCAAUGCGCGACAGCGUGACGCAGCAACACCGCGUGGGGGAAGAAGGCCUUCGGGUUGUAAACCCCUUUCAGGAGGGACGAAGGCCGGCCGGUGAACAGCCGUGUCGGUUGACGGUACCUCCAGAAGAAGCCCCGGCUAACUACGUGCCAGCAGCCGCGGUAAUACGUAGGGGGCAAGCGUUGUCCGGAAUCAUUGGGCGUAAAGCGCGCGUAGGCGGCCCGAUAAGUCCGCUGUAAAAGUCAACGGCUCAACCGUUGAAAGCCGGUGGAUACUGUCGGGCUAGAGUCCGGAAGAGGCAAGUGGAAUUCCUGGUGUAGCGGUGGAAUGCGCAGAUAUCAGGAGGAACACCUAUAGCGAAGGCAGCUUGCUGGGACGGUACUGACGCUAAGGCGCGAAAGCGUGGGGAGCAAACAGG
Molecule: ribosomal RNA, 430 nt
Filed under: uncultured bacterium
Lineage: Bacteria
Description: bacterial SSU rRNA
Rfam family: Bacterial small subunit ribosomal RNA
Source: RNAcentral